UAGCUGAAACCCGUGUCUACGUUCAAAUUUCGGGUUAGUGAAUUAUUUUGUGGGCUAGUAACUUUCAGGCAUAGCUAGCCCGACUGGCUA
Haliotis rubra (blacklip abalone) is the source of this 90-nucleotide long non-coding RNA. RefSeq lists it as uncharacterized. The record is from RefSeq and is a predicted model, not a curated record. Lineage: Eukaryota; Metazoa; Mollusca; Gastropoda; Lepetellida; Haliotidae. The transcript is spliced from 3 exons.